ACAUGCUUUGUUUCUAUAUUACACUUCUCUUUUUUUCUUCCCUCUGCAUGAGGAAGUGAGCACUCGGAGUGCAGAAUUCCUCGCCUCUCAGUCGGGUUACACGUCACUAGGCAGGACGUCGUUCUCAUCUCAAACACUGUCGUUCAGACCUCAGGGAUCGGCGUGACGUCGGGACAAAGCGCUGGCAAAAACGUCUACAGUCAGUUGCCUUCUCCGGUCUCGGCCGAGGUGAUGAGUCCGGGAACGGCCACUCGAGAGCUGGACUCCAUCAUGAACGAGCUGCUCGGGCUGAACCUGGAGGUCUUGGAUCAGCCAGCACUCAGUGAGAAGUCUGAAAAAGACAAAAAGCCAGAAGAAAAGAAAGAAGCCACAGGAAACAGUGCGCAGAAUGAUC
Molecule: long non-coding RNA, 394 nt
Organism: Ictalurus punctatus (channel catfish)
Lineage: Eukaryota; Metazoa; Chordata; Actinopteri; Siluriformes; Ictaluridae
Source: Ensembl